RNAcentral lists this ribosomal RNA (461 nucleotides) under uncultured bacterium. Its description in RNAcentral is "bacterial SSU rRNA". It matches the Rfam family "Bacterial small subunit ribosomal RNA", at positions 1 to 507 of the family's 1533-position model. The record is from RNAcentral.
CGAUAUCGACGAGGUUUGAUCCUGGCUCAGAGCGAACGCUGGCGGCAGGCUUAACACAUGCAAGUCGAACGCCCCGCAAGGGGAGUGGCAGACGGGUGAGUAACACGUGGGAACGUACCUUUUGGUUCGGAACAACACAGGGAAACUUGUGCUAAUACCGGAUAAGCCCUUACGGGGAAAGAUUUAUCGCCGAAAGAUCGGCCCGCGUCUGAUUAGCUAGUUGGUGAGGUAAAGGCUCACCAAGGCGACGAUCAGUAGCUGGUCUGAGAGGAUGAUCAGCCACACUGGGACUGAGACACGGCCCAGACUCCUACGGGAGGCAGCAGUGGGGAAUAUUGGACAAUGGGCGCAAGCCUGAUCCAGCCAUGCCGCGUGAGUGAUGAAGGCCCUAGGGUUGUAAAGCUCUUUUGUGCGGGAAGAUAAUGACGGUACCGCAAGAAUAAGCCCCGGCUAACUUCGUG